RNAcentral lists this ribosomal RNA (254 nucleotides) under uncultured bacterium. RNAcentral's name for it is "partial 16S ribosomal RNA". It matches the Rfam family "Bacterial small subunit ribosomal RNA", at positions 524 to 776 of the family's 1533-position model. The record is from RNAcentral.
UACGUAGGGUGCAAGCGUUGUCCGGAAUUAUUGGGCGUAAAGAGCUCGUAGGCGGUGUGUCACGUCGUUCGUGAAAACCUGCAGCUUAACUGUGGGCGUGCGGUCGAUACGGGCAUCACUGGAGUUCGGCAGGGGAGACUGGAAUUCCUGGUGUAGCGGUGAAAUGCGCAGAUAUCAGGAGGAACACCGGUGGCGAAGGCAGCUCGCUGGGACGGUACUGACGCUGAGACGCGAAAGCGUGGGGAGCAAACAGG